This 497-nucleotide ribosomal RNA is filed under the name uncultured bacterium. RNAcentral's name for it is "partial 16S ribosomal RNA". It matches the Rfam family "Bacterial small subunit ribosomal RNA", at positions 28 to 507 of the family's 1533-position model. The record is from RNAcentral.
GACGAACGCUGGCGGCGUGCCUAAUACAUGCAAGUCGAGCGCUGAAGGCUGGUACUUGUACCCACUGGAUGAGCAGCGAACGGGAGAGUAACGCGUGGGGAAUCUGCCUUUGAGCGGGGGACAACAUUUGGAAACGAAUGCUAAUACCGCAUAAAAACUUUAAACACAAGUUUUAAGUUUGAAAGAUGCAAUUGCAUCACUCAAAGAUGAUCCCGCGUUGUAUUAGCUAGUUGGUGAGGUAAAGGCUCACCAAGGCGAGGAUACAUAGCCGACCUGAGAGGGUACUCGGCCAAACUGGGCUGGGGACACGGCCCAAAAUACUGCGGGAGGCAGCAGUAGGGGAUCUUCGGCGAUGGACGCAAGUCGGACCGAGCGACGCCGCGUGAGUGCAGAAGGUUGUCGUAUCGUAAAACUCUGUUGGUAGAGAAGAACGUUGGUGAGAGUGGAAAGCGCAUCAAGUGACGGUAACGACACAGAAAGCGACGGCUAACUACGUG